RNAcentral lists this ribosomal RNA (422 nucleotides) under uncultured prokaryote. RNAcentral describes it as "bacterial SSU rRNA". It matches the Rfam family "Bacterial small subunit ribosomal RNA", at positions 355 to 774 of the family's 1533-position model. The record is from RNAcentral.
UGAGGAAUAUUGGUCAAUGGGCGCAAGCCUGAACCAGCCAUCCCGCGUGAAGGAAGAAGGCGCUAUGCGUCGUAAACUUCUUUUCCAGGGGGAGAAUUUUCCGGUCGUGACCGGAAUUGACGGUACUCUGGGAAUAAGCAUCGGCUAACUCCGUGCCAGCAGCCGCGGUAAUACGGAGGAUGCGAGCGUUAUCAGGAUUUAUUGGGUUUAAAGGGUGCGUAGGCGGAUCAAUAAGUCAGUGGUGAAAUUAUGCAGCUUAACUGUAGGCGUGCCAUUUAUACUGUUGGUCUUGAGUAUGGUCAAGGUAGGCGGAAUGUGUAGUGUAGCGGUGAAAUGCUUAGAUAUUACACAGAACACCGAUUGCGAAGGCAGCUUGCUGGGCCAAUACUGACGCUGAUGCACGAAAGCGUGGGGAUCGAACA